RNAcentral lists this ribosomal RNA (1139 nucleotides) under Pseudarthrobacter defluvii. RNAcentral's name for it is "bacterial SSU rRNA". It matches the Rfam family "Bacterial small subunit ribosomal RNA", at positions 122 to 1271 of the family's 1533-position model. The record is from RNAcentral. Lineage: Bacteria; Bacillati; Actinomycetota; Actinomycetes; Micrococcales; Micrococcaceae.
UAACCUGCCCUUGACUCUGGGAUAAGCCUGGGAAACUGGGUCUAAUACCGGAUAUGACCUUCCAUCGCAUGGUGGUUGGUGGAAAGCUUUUGUGGUUUUGGAUGGACUCGCGGCCUAUCAGCUUGUUGGUGAGGUAAUGGCUUACCAAGGCGACGACGGGUAGCCGGCCUGAGAGGGUGACCGGCCACACUGGGACUGAGACACGGCCCAGACUCCUACGGGAGGCAGCAGUGGGGAAUAUUGCACAAUGGGCGCAAGCCUGAUGCAGCGACGCCGCGUGAGGGAUGACGGCCUUCGGGUUGUAAACCUCUUUCAGUAGGGAAGAAGCCGCAAGGUGACGGUACCUGCAGAAGAAGCGCCGGCUAACUACGUGCCAGCAGCCGCGGUAAUACGUAGGGCGCAAGCGUUAUCCGGAAUUAUUGGGCGUAAAGAGCUCGUAGGCGGUUUGUCGCGUCUGCCGUGAAAGUCCGGGGCUCAACUCCGGAUCUGCGGUGGGUACGGGCAGACUAGAGUGAUGUAGGGGAGACUGGAAUUCCUGGUGUAGCGGUGAAAUGCGCAGAUAUCAGGAGGAACACCGAUGGCGAAGGCAGGUCUCUGGGCAUUAACUGACGCUGAGGAGCGAAAGCAUGGGGAGCGAACAGGAUUAGAUACCCUGGUAGUCCAUGCCGUAAACGUUGGGCACUAGGUGUGGGGGACAUUCCACGUUUUCCGCGCCGUAGCUAACGCAUUAAGUGCCCCGCCUGGGGAGUACGGCCGCAAGGCUAAAACUCAAAGGAAUUGACGGGGGCCCGCACAAGCGGCGGAGCAUGCGGAUUAAUUCGAUGCAACGCGAAGAACCUUACCAAGGCUUGACAUGAACCGGACCGGGCUGGAAACAGUCUUUCCCCUUUGGGGCUGGUUUACAGGUGGUGCAUGGUUGUCGUCAGCUCGUGUCGUGAGAUGUUGGGUUAAGUCCCGCAACGAGCGCAACCCUCGUUCUAUGUUGCCAGCACGUGAUGGUGGGGACUCAUAGGAGACUGCCGGGGUCAACUCGGAGGAAGGUGGGGACGACGUCAAAUCAUCAUGCCCCUUAUGUCUUGGGCUUCACGCAUGCUACAAUGGCCGGUACAAAGGGUUGCGAUACUGUGAGGUGGAGCUAA